Molecule: ribosomal RNA, 667 nt
Filed under: Rhodococcus coprophilus
Lineage: Bacteria; Bacillati; Actinomycetota; Actinomycetes; Mycobacteriales; Nocardiaceae
Description: bacterial SSU rRNA
Rfam family: Bacterial small subunit ribosomal RNA
Source: RNAcentral
UGGGAUAAGCCUGGGAAACUGGGUCUAAUACCGGAUAUGACCAUGGGAUGCAUGUCCUGUGGUGGAAAGGUUUACUGGUGCAGGAUGAGCCCGCGGCCUAUCAGCUUGUUGGUGGGGUAAUGGCCUACCAAGGCGACGACGGGUAGCCGGCCUGAGAGGGCGACCGGCCACACUGGGACUGAGACACGGCCCAGACUCCUACGGGAGGCAGCAGUGGGGAAUAUUGCACAAUGGGCGAAAGCCUGAUGCAGCGACGCCGCGUGAGGGAUGACGGCCUUCGGGUUGUAAACCUCUUUCAGCAGGGACGAAGCGCAAGUGACUGUACCUGCAGAAGAAGCACCGGCUAACUACGUGCCAGCAGCCGCGGUAAUACGUAGGGUGCGAGCGUUGUCCGGAAUUACUGGGCGUAAAGAGUUCGUAGGCGGUUUGUCGCGUUGUGUGUGAAAUCCCGCAGCUCAACUGCGGGCUUGCAGGCGAUACGGGCAGACUUGAGUACCGCAGGGGAGACUGGAAUUCCUGGUGUAGCGGUGAAAUGCGCAGAUAUCAGGAGGAACCCCGGUGGCGAAGGCGGGUCUUUGGGCAGUAACUGACGCUGAGGAACGAAAGCGUGGGUAGCGAACAGGAUUAGAUACCCUGGUAGUCCACGCCGUAAACGGUGGGCGCUAGG